GGGGAGAUUCWCCGUAUUUCCGUUUCGAUCCGCGAUACGAUUUUACGCACACUCCGAUGCGGUGCGACGUUUCGGCGUCGUCCGUUUCGAAGGCGGUCGUGUCGUAGACGAUGGUCGACGGAGUGCGUGCACUUCUCCCUCAGUAAAACACCGCGACCCGUUCGACUGCGAUCGAACGCGCCGUGCGGUCGUUCCGUUUCGAACGUCAAAAAUUCGGGACGGAGCCGCGGCGUCGCGUUCGCGGUCAGACGGUAGAGAAGUAGGUUCGCGUUCGCCGCGUUGCGAAACGCGGCGUCCGUGUCGCGAACCGAACGGGUCUCGUGCGAACCUCGACGUAAACGCGUCGCAGGCGUUUCGUACGUUGUACGCCCGUUCGUCGGCGUCGCGACCUCUCGGACGGAACGCGUCCCGG
RNAcentral lists this ribosomal RNA (412 nucleotides) under Macronema sp. 3232. RNAcentral describes it as "partial 28S ribosomal RNA". Lineage: Eukaryota; Metazoa; Arthropoda; Insecta; Trichoptera; Hydropsychidae. The record is from RNAcentral.